GAAUAUGAAGCGAUAAAUUGCAAUUAGUUUCGACCUAAUCUUAGGUACUUUUACCCUUAUUCUUUAAUUGA
RNAcentral lists this transfer RNA (71 nucleotides) under Drosophila roehrae. RNAcentral's name for it is "tRNA-Arg". The record is from RNAcentral. Lineage: Eukaryota; Metazoa; Arthropoda; Insecta; Diptera; Drosophilidae.